RNAcentral lists this transfer RNA (72 nucleotides) under Camelus bactrianus (Bactrian camel). It matches the Rfam family "tRNA". From Rfam's summary of the family: Transfer RNA (tRNA) molecules are approximately 80 nucleotides in length. Lineage: Eukaryota; Metazoa; Chordata; Mammalia; Artiodactyla; Camelidae. The record is from Rfam by way of RNAcentral. RNAcentral also lists the same sequence under 2 other names.
GAAGGUAUAGCUCAGUGGUAGAAUGUGUGCUUAGCAUGCUCUAGGUCCUGGGUUCAAUCCCCAGUACUUCCA